RNAcentral lists this ribosomal RNA (406 nucleotides) under uncultured bacterium. RNAcentral describes it as "bacterial SSU rRNA". It matches the Rfam family "Bacterial small subunit ribosomal RNA", at positions 355 to 776 of the family's 1533-position model. The record is from RNAcentral.
UGGGGAAUAUUGCGCAAUGGGCGAAAGCCUGACGCAGCGACGCCGCGUGUGGGAUGAAGGUCUUCGGAUUGUAAACCACUGUCGCGAGGGACGAAAAUCUGACGGUACCUCGAAAGGAAGCACCGGCUAACUCUGUGCCAGCAGCCGCGGUAAUACAGAGGGUGCGAGCGUUGUCCGGAAUCACUGGGCGUAAAGGGCGCGUAGGCGGCCGGGUAAGUAGGGGGUGAAAUCUCACAGCUCAACUGUGAGGCUGCCUUCUAGACUGCUUGGCUUGAGCACGGUAGAGGCUGGUGGAAUUCCCGGUGUAGCGGUGGAAUGCGUAGAGAUCGGGAAGAACAUCGGUGGCGAAGGCGGCCAGCUGGGCCGUUGCUGACGCUGAGGCGCGAAAGCGUGGGGAGCAAACAGG